CUUGCUGAGCCGCUUUCAGUCCGCUCAGCCUGCUCAGCCCAGGCCCAGUUCCGUGCGGCGUUUCUUUGCUGCCAUUUGAGAUCUGAGCGCUUUGUUAGAUGUGUCAACUUGUCAGGGUGACGCGCCAGUAGAAUUGAUAUUAUGCCAAAUUGAUUGAAUCUCCUGGGAGACACAUGCAAAUUACUUUAGUUAUGUCAGUCAACAGAGCCAGAGCUCUGAGUGUUUACUACGAGCGUAUUAAUAGAACUGCAAAAGUUGAAAUUAGCCGACGAGGAAAAAUCAAUUUGGCGACAGUUCGUGCCAUAAUGCAGAGUUGGCAUGUCAGCUUCAAAUGCGUAUGUGAGGCAUCUGCGGCAUGGCCACAAUUCGAGCCACAAUUCGGGAUGUCGAUUAUGAGACUAAGUGCCAGACGUGCUCCGCAUGGGGAAUGUGUGUGGGGAAUAGCCUGCCGCAGCUAUUAACGCAGUCACGGAGACAAGGCCAGUGGAGACCCAUUGGAUAUGCAAAGGCAGCCAACAAAACAGCCCCUGGGAGGAUACCAACACUCAUUCACAUACAAGCACACACACAUACACACUCACACAUUUGUGGAACUUGACUGAACUGACGCUCAAUAAACAUUUCAAAUGUUCAAUUA
RNA transcript from Drosophila mojavensis, 637 nucleotides. RefSeq lists it as uncharacterized. The record is from RefSeq and is a predicted model, not a curated record. The transcript is spliced from 3 exons. Lineage: Eukaryota; Metazoa; Arthropoda; Insecta; Diptera; Drosophilidae.